Orbilia ellipsospora is the source of this 105-nucleotide non-coding RNA. Lineage: Eukaryota; Fungi; Ascomycota; Orbiliomycetes; Orbiliales; Orbiliaceae. The record is from the annotation of a GenBank genome assembly.
UCCGAUAUGGUGUAGUGGCUAACAUCGUUCGCUUUCACGACACCGGGAGUCAAUCCUGGCAUCGGAUGAGCCGAACAGCCCCGGGUUCGAUUCCCGGUGUCGGAA